GACGAACGCUGGCGGCGUGCUUAACACAUGCAAGUCGAACGACGAAGCUGGAGCUUGCUCCGGUGGAUUAGUGGCGAACGGGUGAGUAACACGCGAGAAAUCUGCCCUUGACUCUGGGAUAACUGCGGGAAACUGUAGCUAAUACCGGAUACUUUCCUCGGUGGGCAUCCACUGGGGAAGAAAGAAUUUCGGUCAAGGAUGAUCUCGCGGCCUAUCAGCUAGUUGGUGAGGUAAUGGCUCACCAAGGCGACGACGGGUAGCCGGCCUGAGAGGGUGACCGGCCACACUGGGACUGACACACGGCCCAGACUCCUACGGGAGGCAGCAGUGGGGAAUAUUGCACAAUGGGCGCAAGCCUGAUGCAGCAACGCCGCGUGUGGGAUGAAGGCCUUCGGGUUGUAAACCUCUUUUAGCAGGGAAGAAGCGAAAGUGGCGGUACCUGCAGAAAAAGCACCGGCUAACUACGUGCCAGCCGCCGCCGUAA
RNAcentral lists this ribosomal RNA (484 nucleotides) under uncultured bacterium. Its description in RNAcentral is "partial 16S ribosomal RNA". It matches the Rfam family "Bacterial small subunit ribosomal RNA", at positions 28 to 523 of the family's 1533-position model. The record is from RNAcentral.